Molecule: ribosomal RNA, 495 nt
Filed under: uncultured bacterium
Lineage: Bacteria
Description: partial 16S ribosomal RNA
Rfam family: Bacterial small subunit ribosomal RNA
Source: RNAcentral
GACGAACGCUGGCGGCGUGCCUAAUACAUGCAAGUAGAACGCUGAAGGAGGAGCUUGCUUCUCUGGAUGAGUUGCGAACGGGUGAGUAACGCGUAGGUAACCUGCCUGGUAGCGGGGGAUAACUAUUGGAAACGAUAGCUAAUACCGCAUAAUAGUAGAUGUUGCAUGACAUUUGCUUAAAAGGUGCAAUUGCAUCACUACCAGAUGGACCUGCGUUGUAUUAGCUAGUUGGUGAGGUAACGGCUCACCAAGGCGACGAUACAUAGCCGACCUGAGAGGGUGAUCGGCCACACUGGGACUGAGACACGGCCCAGACUCCCACGGGAGGCAGCAGUAGGGAAUCUUCGGCAAUGGACGGAAGUCUGACCGAGCAACGCCGCGUGAGUGAAGAAGGUUUUCGGAUCGUAAAGCUCUGUUGUAAGAGAAGAACGAGUGUGAGAGUGGAAAGUUCACACUGUGACGGUACCUUACCAGAAAGGGACGGCUAACUACGUG